This 253-nucleotide ribosomal RNA is filed under the name uncultured bacterium. RNAcentral describes it as "partial 16S ribosomal RNA". It matches the Rfam family "Bacterial small subunit ribosomal RNA", at positions 524 to 776 of the family's 1533-position model. The record is from RNAcentral.
UACGGAGGGGACUAGCGUUGUUCGGAAUUACUGGGCGUAAAGCGCACGUAGGCGGAUUUGUAAGUCAGGGGUGAAAUCCCGGGGCUCAACCCCGGAACUGCCUUUGAUACUGCGAAUCUCGAGUCCGGAAGAGGUGAGUGGAAUUCCUAGUGUAGAGGUGAAAUUCGUAGAUAUUAGGAAGAACACCAGUGGCGAAGGCGGCUCACUGGUCCGGUACUGACGCUGAGGCGCGACAGCGUGGGGAGCAAACAGG